AUUGAACGCUGGCGGCAGGCCUAACACAUGCAAGUCGAGCGAGCGGCGGACGGGUGAGUAAUGUCUGGGGAACUGCCCGAUAGUGGGGGAUAACUACUGGAAACGGUGGAUAAUACCGCAUACUAUCGGAUGUAUCCAUAUGGGAUUAGCUAGUAGGUGGGGUAAAGGCUCACCUAGGCGACGAUCCCUAGCUGGUCUGAGAGGAUGAUCAGCAACACUGGAACUGAGAAACGGCCCAGACUCCUACGGGAGGCAGCAGUGGGGAAUAUUGCACAAUGGGCGCAAGCCUGAUGCAGCCAUGCCGCGUGUAUGAAGAAGGCCUUAGGGGUGUAAAGUACUUUCAGCGGGGAGGCGUUACCCGCAGAAGAAGCACCGGCUAACUCCGUGCCAGCAGCCGCGGUAAUUC
Molecule: ribosomal RNA, 406 nt
Filed under: uncultured bacterium
Lineage: Bacteria
Description: partial 16S ribosomal RNA
Rfam family: Bacterial small subunit ribosomal RNA
Source: RNAcentral